Molecule: ribosomal RNA, 163 nt
Filed under: Adina fagifolia
Lineage: Eukaryota; Viridiplantae; Streptophyta; Magnoliopsida; Gentianales; Rubiaceae
Description: Adinauclea fagifolia 5.8S ribosomal RNA
Rfam family: 5.8S ribosomal RNA
About the family: 5.8S ribosomal RNA (5.8S rRNA) is a component of the large subunit of the eukaryotic ribosome. It is transcribed by RNA polymerase I as part of the 45S precursor that also contains 18S and 28S rRNA. Functionally, it is thought that 5.8S rRNA may be involved in ribosome translocation.
Source: RNAcentral
CAAACAACUCUCGACAACGGAUAUCUCGGCUCUCGCAUCGAUGAAGAACGUAGCAAAAUGCGAUAUCGGUGUGAAUUGCAGAAUCCUGUGAACUAUCGAGUCUUUGAACGCAAGUUGCGCCCAAAGCCAUCAGGCCGAGGGCAUGUCUGCCUAGGCAUCAUGC